UGCGUAGGCGGGUCUUUAAGUCAGGGGUGAAAUCCUGGAGCUCAACUCCAGAACUGCCUUUGAUACUGAGGAUCUUGAGUUCGGGAGAGGUGAGUGGAACUGCGAGUGUAGAGGUGAAAUUCGUAGAUAUUCGCAAGAACACCAGUGGCGAAGGCGGCUCACUGGCCCGAUACUGACGCUGAGGCACGAAAGCGUGGGGGAGCAAACA
This 208-nucleotide ribosomal RNA is filed under the name uncultured bacterium. RNAcentral's name for it is "partial 16S ribosomal RNA". It matches the Rfam family "Bacterial small subunit ribosomal RNA", at positions 568 to 774 of the family's 1533-position model. The record is from RNAcentral.